GACGAACGCUGGCGGCGUGCUUAACACAUGCAAGUCGAACGGAAAGGCCCUGCUUUUGUGGGGUGCUCGAGUGGCGAACGGGUGAGUAACACGUGAGUAACCUGCCCUUGACUUUGGGAUAACUUCAGGAAACUGGGGCUAAUACCGGAUAGGAGCUCCUGCUGCAUGGUGGGGGUUGGAAAGUUUCGGCGGUUGGGGAUGGACUCGCGGCUUAUCAGCUUGUUGGUUGGGUAGUGGCUUACCAAGGCUUUGACGGGUAGCCGGCCUGAGAGGGUGACCGGCAACAUUGGGACUGAGAUACGGCCCAGACUCCUACGGGAGGCAGCAGUGGGGGAUAUUGCACAAUGGGCGGAAGCCUGAUACAGCAACGCCGCGUGCGGGAUGACGGCCUUCGGGUUGUAAACCGCUUUCGCCUGUGACGAAGCGUGAGUGACGGUAAUGGGUAAAGAAGCACCGGCUAACUACGUG
Molecule: ribosomal RNA, 468 nt
Filed under: uncultured bacterium
Lineage: Bacteria
Description: partial 16S ribosomal RNA
Rfam family: Bacterial small subunit ribosomal RNA
Source: RNAcentral